This 253-nucleotide ribosomal RNA is filed under the name uncultured bacterium. RNAcentral's name for it is "partial 16S ribosomal RNA". It matches the Rfam family "Bacterial small subunit ribosomal RNA", at positions 524 to 776 of the family's 1533-position model. The record is from RNAcentral.
UACGGGGGGAGCAAACGUUGUUCGGAAUCACUGGGCGUAAAGCGCGUGUAGGCGGUUCGGUAAGUCCGCUGUGAAAGUCGGGGGCUCAACCCUCGGAUGCCGGUGGAUACUGUCGGACUAGAGUACGGAAGAGGCGAGUGGAAUUCCUGGUGUAGCGGUGAAAUGCGCAGAUAUCAGGAGGAACACCGAUUGCGAAGGCAGCUCGCUGGGACGUUACUGACGCUGAGACGCGAAAGCGUGGGGAGCAAACAGG